GUACACUCCUACGGGAGGCAGCAGUGGGGAAUUUUGGACAAUGGGCGAAAGCCUGAUCCAGCAAUGCCGCGUGAGUGAAGAAGGCCUUCGGGUUGUAAAGCUCUUUUGUCAGGGAAGAAACGGUGAAAGCUAAUAUCUUUUGCUAAUGACGGUACCUGAAGAAUAAGCACCGGCUAACUACGUGCCAGCAGCCGCGGUAAUACGUAGGGUGCAAGCGUUAAUCGGAAUUACUGGGCGUAAAGCGUGCGCAGGCGGUUUUGUAAGUCUGAUGUGAAAUCCCCGGGCUCAACCUGGGAAUUGCAUUGGGGACUGCAAGGCUAGAAUCUGGCAGAGGGGGGUAGAAUUCCACGUGUAGCAGUGAAAUGCGUAGAUAUGUGGAGGAACACCGAUGGCGAAGGCAGCCCCCUGGGUCAAGAUUGACGCUCAUGCACGAAAGCGUGUGGAGCAAACAGGAUUAGAAACCCCAGUAGUCCCAU
RNAcentral lists this ribosomal RNA (476 nucleotides) under uncultured organism. RNAcentral's name for it is "partial 16S ribosomal RNA". It matches the Rfam family "Bacterial small subunit ribosomal RNA", at positions 331 to 798 of the family's 1533-position model. The record is from RNAcentral.